This 470-nucleotide ribosomal RNA is filed under the name Metarhizium anisopliae. RNAcentral's name for it is "eukaryotic LSU rRNA". The stretch from base 137 to 290 matches the Rfam family "5.8S ribosomal RNA". The record is from RNAcentral. Lineage: Eukaryota; Fungi; Ascomycota; Sordariomycetes; Hypocreales; Clavicipitaceae.
CCGAGUUAUCCAACUCCCAACCCCUGUGAAUUAUACCUUUAAUUGUUGCUUCGGCGGGACUUCGCGCCCGCCGGGGACCCAAACCUUCUGAAUUUUUUAAUAAGUAUCUUCUGAGUGGUUAAAAAAAAUGAAUCAAAACUUUCAACAACGGAUCUCUUGGUUCUGGCAUCGAUGAAGAACGCAGCGAAAUGCGAUAAGUAAUGUGAAUUGCAGAAUUCAGUGAAUCAUCGAAUCUUUGAACGCACAUUGCGCCCGUCAGUAUUCUGGCGGGCAUGCCUGUUCGAGCGUCAUUACGCCCCUCAAGUCCCCUGUGGACUUGGUGUUGGGGAUCGGCGAGGCUGGUUUUCCAGCACAGCCGUCCCUUAAAUUAAUUGGCGGUCUCGCCGUGGCCCUCCUCUGCGCAGUAGUAAAGCACUCGCAACAGGAGCCCGGCGCGGUCCACUGCCGUAAAACCCCCCAACUUUUUAUAG